This 1839-nucleotide long non-coding RNA is filed under the name Triticum aestivum (bread wheat). RNAcentral's name for it is "long non-coding RNA (TAES_LNC027562)". Lineage: Eukaryota; Viridiplantae; Streptophyta; Magnoliopsida; Poales; Poaceae. The record is from RNAcentral.
CAAGACCGAGGUCUCCUCCCGCGAGAAGGUCCACUUCUCCCUCUCCAAGUGGACCGACGAGAAGCAGCAGAAGCCCAGUAAGUUCCUCGAUUCGAUCAAGUCCCUGUCUCGCGUCCUCGAUCCGGUUUGAUUUGCCUGGUCACGGAAUGAAUCCUAGGGUUCGUGGAUCUGGCUUAGUACUGUUGGAUGUGGAUCUUGGUCUAGGUCCAGCGGUUUACUUGUCUAGGUUGAUCUGCUGGAUUGAAUACGAUCUGAUCAGUGAUGAUUUUUGGUUGGGCUGCGCGCCGUCGCGUGAAUCUGUUCCACACCUGCGUAGAAAUGUGUGCGUCGUUGACGAUGGCACAGAUCUAGUGUGCGUCGUUUUUUCUUUUCCUGUUGGUAGAAAUGUGCUGUGAAGAGGGGGGGAAAACUGACAUACGCAAAAGGAUGAUCUUAAAGUAAGCUGUCAGUGUAAUAUACAAGAUUUUUGUGUCAUCUGCGGCGGCGGCUGGUAUCAGCUCACUUGAGAUGUAUUGGGAAUUUUAAUUCGCCCUAUAGCCUGGAGCUGCUAGAAUCGUAAGAUUAUGUUUUACAGUUUAGUACUAACUUAGUAUUACUUAUUUGCUGGAAAAUAGAGAUGAGUAACCAUGAAUGCAUGAAGUAAUACAUAACGAGGAUCCUACCCUGAGUGUGACCUUCCAUAGGCUGGAUUGGGUGGACAUGAUGGUGCUUAUCGUCUCUGUUUUAUGCAUAAUUUUACCAGAUAAAAAAUAUGCCUGUGUUCCUUUAAAACCAGGAGAAACUUGGUAUUGGUGGCUCUGUUUGAAGAUUAACUGUAGGAACCCCACCUGAACUUCUAUGCAGUCAUAGUUAUUGAUUAAUCUCUGCAAGCUUUUUGCAAUAUACUUCUUUCCCCUGAUGCAAGGAAAAUAUCAUGAGCUUAAUCUGUGGCACCACGUCUGCUGCGUGCACAAGAGCAUUCACGAACUCAUGCUAACGAUAAAGAAACCUCAUGAAUCAAAGGCAUGUGCAAGUCUACUAAUAGAGGGAAUGGUGUGGUAAUAAUUAGCACCUGUAGUUUUCACUUUUCAGCGCCAAUGCAUCAGUACCUCAUAGUUCUGCAAAUGCCUCAAGAUUUGUCAUACCCUAUUUAUAUGAUACAGAGCUGGUAGCAAAAGCAGAGGGAGUUUAUUCAGCCGCAUGCAUGAUUGCAUGUGAACACUGAGUAGUGAUCUAUAGCAAUACUGAUUUUGUGUUUCACAUAACUAUCUAUAUUGUAAUUGCAACUCGUGGAUAUUCUUUCAGGAACUGCAAAAGUAGAUGUAGUUUUGUUUUGGAAUGCUUAAGUGGCUGUUAUGUUUGCUCUUUGAGUGAUUUGCAUGAAGUGUCGCAUCCAACAUCUAUGCCAUUCUGAAUAAUUUGCUUAUCCAGCUUCUGUGAUGAUUUUGUAGUUGCAUAUUUAACAUCUUGCUUUCUCAUUGUGGUUGGUGGGUAUUGAACCAAGUAGAACCAAAUGAGGCUCUUUCUUGCUUUGGUUGUACUUCAUGAUGUAUUGUUCUCUUGAUCACUAACUUGGUUGUUCAUGUUGCAGCUGUGCGCACAGAUGAUGAAUGAAGAUCAGGUGCCAUGGUGAUGUUUUGAGAAGUUGUUGGUUUAUGGUCAGGGGCUCAGGGCUUAAGAACUUGAAAAUAAAUUCUUGUGGUGACAAUGGAUCUAUUCCGAUACUAUGUUGUUAUAUUUACUAAUUGCUCCUUUUCUACUUGAUGAACCAUGUGAAACUCUUGUCUUGCGGUGGUGCUUGAGUGAGCGUGUUUUUAUGCAUUAUAUCUUCUGAUGCUUUAAUUUGGUAUAUAUUCCAAA